CACCCAGAAGAAUCCAUCCCAGGCGAUCGUCCCUUGUUAUCACCAUCACUGACACCAUGAUCAAGUGCUGCAGCCACUUGUUCCCAAAGCAUGAGGCCCAGAGGUACAGUUUCAGGACAGUGGUAGCUCGAUGAAAUGAUGGAGGAGCCAGAUCCUUCAUCCUGUUCUACCAUCUCAGCGUCAGCUCCAUCCUCCCGUGGGCCAUAGCAAGGCCCCGAAGAUCCCAGAGGCACAUCUGCACACACUGAGACCCAGAGGAAGAAAGAGCAAUGGCCAAGAUUAAGGCUCGGGACCUUCGAGGCAAGAAGGAGGAGGAGUUGCUGAAACAGCUGGACGACCUGAAAGUGGAGUUGUCCCAGCUUCGUGUCGCCAAAGUGACAGGUGGUGCGGCGUCCAAACUCUCCAAGAUCCGAGUCGUCCACAAGCCCAUUGUCCGUGUCCUCACUGUAAUUAACCAGACGCAGAAAGAAAACCUCAGGAAGUUCUACAAGGGCAAGAAGUACAAGCCCCUGGAUCUGCGGCCUAAGAAAACACGUGCCAUGCACCGCCGGCUCAACAAGCACGAGGAGAACCUGAAGACGAAGCAGCAGCAGCGGAAGGAACGGCUGUACCCACUGUGGAAGUACGCAGUCAAGGCCUGAGGCCUGAGUCUCUUGGCAUC
Microcebus murinus (gray mouse lemur) is the source of this 661-nucleotide RNA transcript. It is a transcript of the gene named large ribosomal subunit protein uL29 pseudogene, with no coding region annotated. The record is from RefSeq and is a predicted model, not a curated record. NCBI's taxonomy places the organism in Eukaryota, Metazoa, Chordata, Mammalia, Primates, Cheirogaleidae.